UUACCAGGUCUUGACAUCCCUGACAACCCGAGAGAUCGGGCGGUUCCCCUUCGGGGGACAGGGUGACAGGUGGUGCAUGGUUGUCGUCAGCUCGUGUCGUGAGAUGUUGGGUUAAGUCCCGCAACGAGCGCAACCCUCGACCUUAGUUGCCAGCAUUCAGUUGGGCACUCUAAGGUGACUGCCGGCUAAAAGUCGGAGGAAGUGGGGAUGACGUCAAAUCAUCAUGCCCCUUAUGACCUGGGCUACACACGUGCUACAAUGGGCGGUACAAAGGGUCGCGAACCCGCGAGGGGGAGCCAAUCCCAAAAAGCCGCUCUCAGUUCGGAUUGCAGGCUGCAACUCGCCUGCAUGAAGCCGGAAUCGCUAGUAAUCGCGGAUCAGCAUGCCGCGGUGAAUACGUUCCCGGGCCUU
RNAcentral lists this ribosomal RNA (411 nucleotides) under uncultured Anoxybacillus sp. RNAcentral describes it as "bacterial SSU rRNA". It matches the Rfam family "Bacterial small subunit ribosomal RNA", at positions 971 to 1382 of the family's 1533-position model. The record is from RNAcentral. Lineage: Bacteria; Bacillati; Bacillota; Bacilli; Caryophanales; Anoxybacillaceae.